Molecule: ribosomal RNA, 365 nt
Filed under: uncultured eukaryote
Lineage: Eukaryota
Description: partial 18S ribosomal RNA
Rfam family: Eukaryotic small subunit ribosomal RNA
Source: RNAcentral
CAAUAGCGUAUAUUUAAGUUGUUGCAGUUAAAAAGCUCGUAGUCGGAUUUUGGCUGAGAACGAUCGGUCCGCCGUUAGGUGUGCACUGAUUGGUCUCAGCUUCCUGGUGAGGAGGUGUGCUUCACGGCCACUUAGUCACCGUGGUUACUUUGAAAAAAUUAGAGUGUUCAAAGCGGGCUUACGCUUGAAUAUAUUAGCAUGGAAUAACACCAUAGGACUCCUGUCCUAUUUCGUUGGUCACGGGACGGGAGUAAUGAUUAAGAGGAACAGUUGGGGGCAUUCGUAUUUCAUUGUCAGAGGUGAAAUUCUUGGAUUUAUGAAAGACGAACUCCUGCGAAAGCAUUUGCCAAGGAUGUUUUCAUUGA